ACCGGCGGAAGGGUGCGUAACGCGUGAGCAACAUGCCCGUAUCAGGGGGAUAAGCCAGGGAAACUUGGUCUAAUACCGCAUAAUAAAUAUCUAAGGCAUCUUAGAGAUUUUAAAGCUUUGGUGGAUACGGAUUGGCUCGCGUGACAUUAGCUAGAUGGUAAGGUAACGGCUUACCAUGGCUACGAUGUCUAGGGGUUCUGAGAGGAAGAUCCCCCACACUGGAACUGAGACACGGUCCAGACUCCUACGGGAGGCAGCAGUGAGGAAUAUUGGACAAUGGAUGGAAAUCUGAUCCAGCCAUGCCGCGUGCAGGAAGACGGCCCUAUGGGUUGUAAACUGCUUUUAUACGGGAGCAAUAAGGCCUACGUGUAGGCUGAUGAGAGUACCGUACGAAUAAGGACCGGCUAACUCCGUGCCAGCAGCCGCGGUAAUACGGAGGGUCCAAGCGUUAUCCGGAUUUAUUGGGUUUAAAGGGUGCGUAGGCGGUUUUAUAAGUCAGCGGUGAAAGUUUUCAGCUUAACUGGAAAAAUGCCGUUGAUACUGUAGAGCUAGAAUAUGGUUGCUGUGGGUGGAAUGUGUGGUGUAGCGGUGAAAUGCUUAGAGAUCACACAGAAUAUCGAUUGCGAAGGCAGCUCACAAAGCCAUUAUUGACGCUGAGGCACGAAAGUGUGGGGAUCAAACAGGAUUAGAUACCCUGGUAGUCCACACUGUAAACGAUGAUAACUCGCUGUCGG
RNAcentral lists this ribosomal RNA (734 nucleotides) under uncultured bacterium. Its description in RNAcentral is "bacterial SSU rRNA". It matches the Rfam family "Bacterial small subunit ribosomal RNA", at positions 94 to 826 of the family's 1533-position model. The record is from RNAcentral.